RNAcentral lists this ribosomal RNA (164 nucleotides) under Cajanus scarabaeoides. Its description in RNAcentral is "5.8S ribosomal RNA". It matches the Rfam family "5.8S ribosomal RNA". From Rfam's summary of the family: 5.8S ribosomal RNA (5.8S rRNA) is a component of the large subunit of the eukaryotic ribosome. It is transcribed by RNA polymerase I as part of the 45S precursor that also contains 18S and 28S rRNA. The record is from RNAcentral. Lineage: Eukaryota; Viridiplantae; Streptophyta; Magnoliopsida; Fabales; Fabaceae.
AAAAURACUCUCGGCAACGGAUAUCUCGGCUCUUGCAUCGAUGAAGAACGUAGCGAAAUGCGAUACUUGGUGUGAAUUGCAGAAUCCCGUGAACCAUCGAGUUUUUGAACGCAAGUUGCGCCUAAAGCCAUUAGGCUGAGGGCACGCCUGCCUGGGUGUCACAA